This is a small nucleolar RNA of Pungitius pungitius (ninespine stickleback), 129 nucleotides long. RefSeq annotates it as small nucleolar RNA SNORA77. The transcript has a single exon. The record is from RefSeq and is a predicted model, not a curated record. NCBI's taxonomy places the organism in Eukaryota, Metazoa, Chordata, Actinopteri, Perciformes, Gasterosteidae.
GCAGACUCACUCUGUUCUUGGCUGUUCACUCCGGCCUUGAACUUUUUCUGUCUGCUACAUGAACGUGCAGAAUGUAACACUUUACCAGCUUUUAAAAAGUUUGGUGGCUGUAUGUUCUGUGACAUUACA